Molecule: ribosomal RNA, 475 nt
Filed under: uncultured bacterium
Lineage: Bacteria
Description: SSU rRNA
Rfam family: Bacterial small subunit ribosomal RNA
Source: RNAcentral
AGGAUAAACGCUGGCGGCGUGCCUAACACAUGCAAGUCGAACGCGCUUUCGGGCUUCGGUGCGAGAGCGAGUGGCGGACGGGUGAGUAACACAUGGGUACCUACCUUGGAGUGAGGGAUACCGGCGAGAAAUCGCCGACAAUACCGCAUAGGCUUCUUCACAAGGGAAGCAAAGUGACGCGAGUCACGCUUUGAGAUGGGCCUGUGGCCGAUUAGCUAGUUGGGGGGGUAACGGCUUCCCAAGGCGACGAUCGGUAGCUGGUCUGAGAGGACGAUCAGCCACACUGGGAUUGAGAACGGCCCAGACUCCUACGGGGGGCAGCAGUGAGGAAUUUUCCGCAAUGGAGGCAACUCUGACGGAGCAACGCCGCGUGCAGGAGGAAGGUUUUCAGAUCGUAAACUGCUUUUCUCGGGGACGAGCGAAGGACGGUACCCGGAGGAACGAAGCCCCGGACUAACUACGCGCCAGCAGCCGC